AAUCAAGACGUUACAAUACCGACGGACUGUUCUGAAGCUGUACAUAUAGUUCCACAAGGAAGCGAACAUUUUGCACCUAUAACAAACGCACCAACAGCCCCUGCAGGAAUAUCGACAACCUCAAGUAGACUCGCAACCUUAAACAUGCAUACGACUCCAAGUACUACGACAGUGCCAACGACAUCGACGAUGAAGCCGCUUUCGCACCUGCCGACAUGUCGAGAUGAUAUCAUCUUUUCCUUGACUCUUAAUGAGUCAGUGGAACACUAUGGCGCCAAAAGAUGCCCGGAUGGGUUACCCGUUUCCGCGGAGGCGGUGGUAAUGGAGUACUGCGGAAUCCCGGUGAUGUCACAGUGGAAAC
Molecule: long non-coding RNA, 361 nt
Organism: Mizuhopecten yessoensis (Yesso scallop)
Lineage: Eukaryota; Metazoa; Mollusca; Bivalvia; Pectinida; Pectinidae
Exons: 3
Source: RefSeq, a predicted model, not a curated record